CUACAGUACUGUUUUACAUGAGCCAUACUUAGAUCAGCUUCCUUGAAUAUAUUUCCUAAAUCAGUAAGCUAGAGGUGUUGUGACACACUCCAGUUAUAAUUGGCAACUUAUCCUCUCAUCAAAGUAUAUGACAAAUAAAAACUAAUAAAUAGAGACUAAUUAAUAUAUCAUGGUGUCAAAUUCAUCAUAGAGGAGGCGUCGAAUGGAGAAACUAUUCCUUCACUCAAGAGGCGCAUUGCAGCCCCUCCUGAGAAUUUCCUUGCAAUCAGAAAACAGGGGGCUAGCGUAGAAUUAUUCCGACACCACUCUGUCCUGUACUCGCUUUCAUAGUAAACAUUGCGGAUAUCCUUUAUUCUCUUGAUCUGUACAGGCCCAGCAUCUGCAUAGCUAAAUGUUAUGGGAUGCCAACCCUUUUUCUCCAUAUUUGUCACAGAUUCAUUCCACUCUGUAUAGGUUAUCGUUCUACGUUCAAGUUCUCCUUCAAGCCCAUGUAUCGCCAACAAUGUCUGCACAUAGUGUUCAUCUGGAAUGCAGUUGUGCUGCUUCUGAAGUUUAAUAUUCUUUUUUCCCUUACUGGCUUCCAGCGCUGGACGUCUCUUGCAGAACAUCUUGAAGACUGGAAACACAGCAUCAUCAUCUGCCACCACUUCUGCAUGCUUCCUGAUUAAAGUGAUCCACUGUGACCCUUUUCGCCAUUUGCUCAUUGGUAUAUAGGGUGACAUCCUUGGGUUGUAGCGGACAUCCUUUUUAUCAAGAAAACUGUCCACAAAGCUCCUUGGAGAAGCCAUCAAGUAGUUGUAUAUGAAGCUAAAGUUGUACAGUGGGACACAGCUGUCCGACAAGAGAACAAAUCUUUGAUUUGCUGGAUCAUCAAGUGCCGCGCCAAGUAAUAAUUUUUCUGCGUGGAUCAUACUUGAUUCUCCCCAAGCUACCUUGAUGCUAUUUGUCAAUUGGCGAUUAUAAAAGAAAGUUGAUCUUGUUGUAGACUCAUCAAAAACAAAACCAGGCUCCGAAUGUACAUAUAUGGAAAAAUUGCCAGGGUCAGCAUUCUCAAAGAAAUUUCCCCAAAGGAAAUCGAGAGGCAAAUUCCUCCGCACUAGAAAGAGGAACGCAACUUUGGGAUUGCCAGUAUAAUAAAGAGCUCGAGAUCUACUGGAAAUUGAAGAAGUAGAAGAGGAAAGUUCCGAAUCGGAAAGAGAGUAGUUUUGAAGCUUUAGAAAAGCCAACACACAAAUAGUAAGAGAAACCAGAACCAACAACUUCCACCACAACCACAACACGUUUCUGACAGACAUUCCGGCGGUCGCCGCCAUAGCCAUCGCCGCCGCCGACUUCUUCUUCAUAGGUUUGAAUUCUCUUUGCUCCUUCUCCUGAAAAUUUAAAAGAAAAAAGAGAUUUGCACUCUAUCUUUCUCUCUGUGUAUAAAUAAAUGCACAUAUAUAUGUGUGUCUUUACAUUGAACAGGUGGCGGUUGAAGGGAGCGAAUGAGAGAGAGAAGCAUUUCAGAG
RNAcentral lists this unclassified non-coding RNA (1508 nucleotides) under Hevea brasiliensis (rubber tree). The record is from RNAcentral. Lineage: Eukaryota; Viridiplantae; Streptophyta; Magnoliopsida; Malpighiales; Euphorbiaceae.